Molecule: ribosomal RNA, 253 nt
Filed under: uncultured bacterium
Lineage: Bacteria
Description: partial 16S ribosomal RNA
Rfam family: Bacterial small subunit ribosomal RNA
Source: RNAcentral
UACAGAGGGGGCAAGCGUUGUUCGGAAUUAUUGGGCGUAAAGAGCUCGUAGGCGGCUCGUCACGUCGGCUGUGAAAACCCGGGGCUCAACCCCGGGCCUGCAGUCGAUACGGGCGAGCUAGAGUUCGGCAGGGGAGACUGGAAUUCCUGGUGUAGCGGUGAAAUGCGCAGAUAUCAGGAGGAACACCGGUGGCGAAGGCGGGUCUCUGGGCCGAUACUGACGCUGAGGAGCGAAAGCGUGGGGAGCGAACAGG